ACUCCUGCGGGAGGCAGCAGUGGGGAAUAUUGCACAAUGGGCGCAAGCCUGAUGCAGCCAUGCCGCGUGUGUGAAGAAGGCCUUCGGGUUGUAAAGCACUUUCAGCGGGGAGGAAGGCGAUACGGUUAAUAACCGUGUUGAUUGACGUUACCCGCAGAAGAAGCACCGGCUAACUCCGUGCCAGCAGCCGCGGUAAUACGGAGGGUGCAAGCGUUAAUCGGAAUUACUGGGCGUAAAGCGCACGCAGGCGGUCUGUCAAGUCGGAUGUGAAAUCCCCGGGCUCAACCUGGGAACUGCAUUCGAGACUGGCAGGCUUGAGUCUUGUAGAGGGGGGUAGAAUUCCAGGUGUAGCGGUGAAAUGCGUAGAGAUCUGGAGGAAUACCGGUGGCGAAGGCGGUCCCCUGGACAAAGACUGACGCUCAGGUGCGAAAGCGUGGGGAGCAAACAGGAUUAGAAACCCCAGUAGUCCCA
RNAcentral lists this ribosomal RNA (471 nucleotides) under uncultured organism. Its description in RNAcentral is "partial 16S ribosomal RNA". It matches the Rfam family "Bacterial small subunit ribosomal RNA", at positions 335 to 797 of the family's 1533-position model. The record is from RNAcentral.